UGGGGAAUAUUGCACAAUGGGGGGAACCCUGAUGCAGCGACGCCGCGUGGGUGAAGGAGUAUUUCGGUAUGUAAAGCCCUAUCAGCAGGGAAGACAAUGACGGUACCUGACUAAGAAGCCCCGGCUAACUACGUGCCAGCAGCCGCGGUAAUACGUAGGGGGCAAGCGUUAUCCGGAUUUACUGGGUGUAAAGGGAGCGUAGACGGCAGCGCAAGCCUGGAGUGAAAGGAUGGGGCCCAACCCCAUGACUGCUCUGGGAACUGUGCGGCUAGAGUGCCGGAGGGGUAAGCGGAAUUCCUAGUGUAGCGGUGAAAUGCGUAGAUAUUAGGAGGAACACCAGUGGCGAAGGCGGCUUACUGGACGGUAACUGACGUUGAGGCUCGAAGGCGUGGGGAGCAAACAGGAUUAGAUACC
RNAcentral lists this ribosomal RNA (414 nucleotides) under uncultured bacterium. RNAcentral describes it as "bacterial SSU rRNA". It matches the Rfam family "Bacterial small subunit ribosomal RNA", at positions 355 to 786 of the family's 1533-position model. The record is from RNAcentral.